CCUACGGGAGGCAGCAGUGAGGAAUAUUGGUCAAUGGGAGAGAUCCUGAACCAGCCAAGCCGCGUGAGGGAAGACGGACCUAUGGGUUGUCAACCUCUUUUGGCGGAGAACAAAACCCGGGACGCGUCCCGGACUGCGUGUACCUGAAGAAAAAGCAUCGGCCAACACCGUGCGAGCAGCCGCGGUAAUACAGAGGAUGCGAGCGUUAUCCGGGUUGAUUGGGUGAAAAGGGUGCGUAGGCGGUCUGUUAAGUAAGCGGUAAAAUUGCGGGGCUCAACCCCGUCGAGCCGUUGAAACUGGCAGACUUGAGUUGGCGAGAGGUACGCGGAAUGCGCGGUGUAGCGGUGAAAUGCAUAGAUAUCGCGCAGAACUCCGAUGGCGAAGGCAGCGUACCGGCGCCAGACUGACGCUGAGGCACGAAAGCGUGGGGAUCGAACAGGAUUAGAUACCCGUGUAGUC
Molecule: ribosomal RNA, 459 nt
Filed under: uncultured bacterium
Lineage: Bacteria
Description: partial 16S ribosomal RNA
Rfam family: Bacterial small subunit ribosomal RNA
Source: RNAcentral